GUAUUUCAAAGGAGAUCAUAAAAUAUUGUUGAAGUAACAAUUUCUCAGAAACGAAUCUUAAUAAAUAUCUGUAUUUUAGUAAAAAGUGGUAGUUAUCUGUAACAAAUGGCAGAGGAUGGUAAAAAUCAAGUCUUUGUGAAAUAUUAUAAUACACACAUAGAAAAACUCUCAUUCCUUUAUUUCAGUGGGAUUUGUCUGCAUGCAGCCAUGUGUCCAGAACAGCCAGUGGGAGAUGUUUCAUUUCCUCUAUCGCUAGAGGGCAGAACUUUUGCUAAAUAAACCAGCGGGAAAACAGAAAGGAAAACAAGGACAUUCAACAGUCUUUACAUCGGCUGGAAGACACAAUGGAAGAAUCUUUAUUUGGAGACUGCUUCCUUUGGAGUGUUUGGUCUGCUCUGAUGCUCAGAAAGAGGAAAUGGAACAAUGAAGUCGUCUAGGAGCUGUAGACCAUUCUUCUCUUCUGAGACCAGGUAACCAGAACUAUCAACAAUCUGUGGAACUGUAACAUUAACUCUUCAAUUUCUAGUGCGCUACAUGAUGUUAUGAUGUGGAAUACUAAUCACCGAUCGUAAAACCAUAAGAGCAUCAUACUAGACCAGAAGCUAGACUGGUAGUGUAUUUAUCUUCAUAAAUAUUAAAGAAAGAGUACAUCAUGUAUUAGAACAAUGGCAUAAGCACACA
RNAcentral lists this long non-coding RNA (681 nucleotides) under Gallus gallus (chicken). Its description in RNAcentral is "lncRNA (ENSGALG00010008518.1)". The record is from RNAcentral. Lineage: Eukaryota; Metazoa; Chordata; Aves; Galliformes; Phasianidae.